GGCAUCGUUUGAACUAUAGUCAAUAGAAUAAGAAGGUUAGAGAACUCGAUGCCGAGGCAUAAUAAACCUCGUUACCUAUGUUUUUGUCUUGGUUUAUGCAAGAAAUACCCAGUUCAUCGUAUCACGACUAGGUAAAUAAACGAAAACACUGCUAUUGGUUGGUUGGGCGAAAAAACAAUACACACGUGACGAUGAACCGACCAUUUUUUGCAUAAACCAAGACAAAAACAUAGACAAUGAGAUCUAUUGUGUCAGCAUCGAGUUCCCUGACCUUCUUAGUCUAUUGACUAUAGUUCAAGUGAUACC
Non-coding RNA from Paramuricea clavata, 306 nucleotides. The record is from the annotation of a GenBank genome assembly. NCBI's taxonomy places the organism in Eukaryota, Metazoa, Cnidaria, Anthozoa, Malacalcyonacea, Plexauridae.